GAUGAACGCUGGCGGCGUGCCUAAUACAUGCAAGUCGAGCGAACAGACGAGGAGCUUGCUCCUCUGACGUUAGCGGCGGACGGGUGAGUAACACGUGGAUAACCUACCUAUAAGACUGGGAUAACUUCGGGAAACCGGAGCUAAUACCGGAUAAUAUAUUGAACCGCAUGGUUCAAUAGUGAAAGACGGUUUUGCUGUCACUUAUAGAUGGAUCCGCGCCGCAUUAGCUAGUUGGUAAGGUAACGGCUUACCAAGGCAACGAUGCGUAGCCGACCUGAGAGGGGGAUAGGCCACCAUGGAACUGAGACACGGACAAGGCGACUAAGGGAGGGCGCAGUAGGGAAUCUGACGCAAUGGGCGGAAGCCUGGCGGAACAACGCCGCGUGAGUGAUGAAGGUCUUCGGAUCGUAAAACUCUGUUAUUAGGGAAGAACAAAUGUGUAAGUAACUAUGCACGUCUUGACGGUACCUAAUCAGAAAGCCACGGCUAACUACGUG
Molecule: ribosomal RNA, 497 nt
Filed under: uncultured bacterium
Lineage: Bacteria
Description: partial 16S ribosomal RNA
Rfam family: Bacterial small subunit ribosomal RNA
Source: RNAcentral